UGGGGAAUUGUUCGCAAUGGGCGCAAGCCUGACGACGCAACGCCGCGUGGAGGAUGAAGGUCUUCGGAUUGUAAACUCCUGUUGAUCGGGACGAAAAGCUUCGACCUAACACGUCGAAGACUGACGGUACCGGUUGAGGAAGCCACGGCUAACUCUGUGCCAGCAGCCGCGGUAAUACAGAGGUGGCAAGCGUUGUUCGGAAUUACUGGGCGUAAAGGGCGCGUAGGCGGCCUUCUAAGUCGGACGUGAAAGCCCCAGGCUUAACCUGGGAACUGCGUCCGAUACUGGGAGGCUUGGAUUCGGGAGAGGGAUGUGGAAUUCCAGGUGUAGCGGUGAAAUGCGUAGAUAUCUGGAGGAACACCGGUGGCGAAGGCGGCAUCCUGGACCGACAUCGACGCUGAGGCGCGAAAGCUAGGGGAGCAAAC
This 425-nucleotide ribosomal RNA is filed under the name uncultured bacterium. RNAcentral's name for it is "bacterial SSU rRNA". It matches the Rfam family "Bacterial small subunit ribosomal RNA", at positions 355 to 773 of the family's 1533-position model. The record is from RNAcentral.